CUUGAAUACAUUCCUGACAGUGUUUUACAGGGCUUUAGAGGCUUAUGGCAUUGCCAGUUCGUGGGGAACCUGUUUGACGAGAGUCGAACUUAUUCAAAAAGUUUGAUCUAGAAGACAUGAGAUGACGGACUGAACCCUCAGCGAUAUAUAUGGCCGCUAUAGAUAGCCCCUCACAGCUGUACACACACGUACGGUCACUGGAGAUGGGGACCUCGGAGAAUGUCGUAUAAAGAAGUCUUCAUGGGUGGCAACUGUCAUGAAACAAUAUCCUCCGAGAGCUCGGCCGCCCCUUGAAGUCUGCUAAACCUCAAGAGUCUCUGCGGUCGAAUUGUACCCCUGGUUGUUGUACCACCAUAUCCCUAUGUGUCUCCUCCCAAACAACUGAAAUAUAUGAGGUCGAAUUCCUUCUUGUCACAAAGUUUCAGAUAUCAUUGCGUGUACGGACCGGGCUCCAUUACCAAUAAACAAAAGAAUGUGCAAGAUGAUGAAAUGACAGCAGAACGAUCUAUUCUGGAGACUUCAAUCUAAUUCGUAGCCGGGAUAUAAAUAAGAAACAGGAGACAAUGGGUCUGGGAUGUGGGUUAGAUAAUGGACUCCAGAGGAAUCUAUGGAACAAGGAAAGUGCUGAGCAAAGAAUUUACCUCCAUUACAUUAUUUAAUGUUCUGAUGACCCAGAUGUGGCCUCUGAAACCACUAUGGCUAACAUUUUAAUAUUUAGUCUGUUUUACAUGGAAUCCUGAUGAUCCACAAACCUGAAGAACAAACAUCCUGCACUCCAGACUGAUACAUUGUACAUAG
Molecule: long non-coding RNA, 798 nt
Organism: Hyla sarda
Lineage: Eukaryota; Metazoa; Chordata; Amphibia; Anura; Hylidae
Exons: 3
Source: RefSeq, a predicted model, not a curated record